Lathyrus oleraceus (garden pea) is the source of this 966-nucleotide long non-coding RNA. RefSeq lists it as uncharacterized. Lineage: Eukaryota; Viridiplantae; Streptophyta; Magnoliopsida; Fabales; Fabaceae. The transcript has 2 exons. The record is from RefSeq and is a predicted model, not a curated record.
GUGAAUACAAUUUUAUGAAUGCUUUAUUCACUUCAUUACAAAAAUAAGUGUUACUCCCUCUAUUUAUAGAUUUAGGUUAACUUGGACCUCAAGCCAAAGCCCAAAACUAUAAAAGUCCAAAAUAGUUAACACUACUAAAAUAGGCCUAAGUCAAAAUCAUGUGUGAAGCAACAUGCUUCGACACUUCAACACACUAACACAACUCAACACACUAGGUGGUUCGACACUUACUUGUUUCUGUCGAGCAACCUACUUCGACACAAGGAAUUACAAUUCAACACACAUCACAGUCACCAUCUCCACCGUGUUAGAGGCUUCCUCAGCGGCGGAGAUUUUCCAUAAAUAAAAAAUUCGGAUAUCAAACUCUUCCUCUCAAUUCCCUCUAAUCGAAUCCCUCAUCAUUUUCUACCAAUCUCUAAACGAUAAACCGAACCGAGUCGUUUACCUCAAGAACCCUAAAUCUUAAAUCCAUAAUUAAAUCCUCCAAUGGAGGAAUCAAAAUCCCUAGGUUAAGGCUUUGAUUCCUCACAUGCUAAUCUAUAUGAUGGUAAUUGAUUCGAAGCAAAAUAAGGAGAAAAAGUGACCCACCUGCCGGAGAAGAUGAAGAUAACGAUAUUGAUGAAGAUUGAAGAUUGAGCUUUGAAUAAAGUGAAGGAAAACGCAUGAACUAUACUCAGGAGACACACAUAACCUAUGAUGGAAAUUAAGGCUUUGCCAAGUAACUUAUGCUUGUAGAAAAUUAGCAAAGAAUUAUGGACUUUGAUGGAUCAUGGAAGAAUGAAACAAGAACUUAGGGUUUAUGAUGGUUUUGGUUGGUUAGUUGACCUUGGUUAACAUGUUAACCAAAAAGUCAACCAUUGAUCAAAAGUCAACUUCGGUAGAAAAGUCACAUUUAGUAAUUUCUUUUGAUGUAUGGACACUAUGUAAUGUAAUUGUAAUGAAUAAAGUGAUAUUUGUUUUAUGAAA